AAUCAACGCUGGCGGCGUGCCUAACACAUGCAAGUCGAACGCGAAAGGGGAGCAAUCCCUGAUUAGAGUGGCAAACGGGUGAGUAACACGUGGGUGACCUGCCUUCGAGUGGGGGAUAACCUUCCGAAAGGAGGGCUAAUACCGCAUGACAUACCGUGUUUGGAUACACGGAUAUCAAAGCCGGGGAUCGCAAGACCUGGCGCUUGGAGAGGGGCCCGCGUCCGAUUAGCUAGNGGUGGGGUAACGGCUCACCAAGGCUCCGAUCGGUAUCCGGCCUGAGAGGGCGGACGGACACACUGGAACUGAGACACGGUCCAGACUCCUACGGGAGGCAGCAGUGGGGAAUUGUUCGCAAUGGGCGAAAGCCUGACGACGCAACGCCGCGUGGAGGAUGAAGAAUUUCGGUUCGUAAACUCCUUUUCGACCGAGAUGAAUACUCAUGGACCUAACACGUCCGUGAGCUGACAGUAUCG
This 473-nucleotide ribosomal RNA is filed under the name uncultured bacterium. RNAcentral's name for it is "bacterial SSU rRNA". It matches the Rfam family "Bacterial small subunit ribosomal RNA", at positions 32 to 480 of the family's 1533-position model. The record is from RNAcentral.